ACUCAGAGCUUUCUAGAUGUAGAGGCUGUGAAUAGCUGUUUUAUUGCUCUGUGUUGUUGUUGUGUAACGAGGGAGAGAUGGCCCCACCCCCGUGAGCUGACAGGAAGGAAGGCCUGCAGAGGAAGUGCUGGGAGAGAAGUACACAAGUAGCACAAUGAGAGAAAUGUGCUGCAAGAGCCCAGAUAUUACUGUGUGUAAAAUGUCAGUAGGGAAACCCAGUGGUAGAAAAGUGCACUCUGUUUAGGGUGUGGAAGGACUGAAGAAACUGCCACAUAAUUGGGGAUUCCCCAGCAGGUCAGAGAUCAGACAAUCUGCUUUAUUAAGUGAAGUUGCUCCUGGCUGGCACACUGUAUAUAUGCAAGAUAUUUAAAGAGCAUCAUGUGACCCAGUGUCUCUGGACUAAAAGAUUCAAAGUAACAAGAAUGAGGCUGCAGCUGCCAGAAAGACCUGCAGUGUUAUCAGGCAUGAGGCAGAAAAGAAGAAAAGCAGCCCAGUGGAACUUGUGGGGAGAGAACACCCAAAGAAAAUUCAGGCAGACACUGGGGGGACAUAGAGACUCCAGUCCAUUCCUAAUGUUAUCCGUAGGGGAUCAUUAGCUCUCCCUGAAAAUGACAUUGUUGUUUUUUUCCUGAAGAAACAUUGAGAUAAGUGGAAUAGAAGUGCUGACAUCCUUAACAGCAAAUGCUGGUAGAAAGUAUGUGGCAUCCAACACAUUUCUUCUUAUCGGCACCUCUGAAGAACCCAGUGUUCUCUUCUCCUUGUGUCUCCAGUGCAGGCUCAAAGGAAGUGUAUCAUGCCUGACACGUUUCACCUUAUUGAUGUUUCAGACUACCCCUGAAUUUUCCGCUAUCUCUCAGGAGCAGCUGCAGCCUGUUGAAAACACUAACCUCUAAGGUGAAGAUUUGUCCAGAAAACAUGGCGAUUGCAACUUUGCACACUGCACUUGCGGUAAGUAAAUGACCCCUAUAAUUAAGAUUAGAGGCAGUACUCCACAAGUUUACAAGCAGAAUACUAUUGCUAUUUAAAGAUUGAGAUUGUUUCAUGAUAAAGACAUCUGGCAUGCUAAUAUGUAUUUUGACAAUCAGAACUGACAUUUCAUUAUCAAAAUGACAGCUUCCAAGUUCACAGUGGGUUCUAGUUAACCUUCUGGUAUAUGGCUUAUUAAAAAAUGAUUUGGUUUUAAUUUGCGACAAGGAUUCAUUUUCAAUAGAGAAUGUGGUAAUGUAGUAAUUCUAAUAAAAUGAAAAUGUAAUGUCUGUUUCCAGUUGAUCCUUGUAUGAUCCUGUCUUGACCUCAAGGUCUAAGGCAACUUCAUGAAGUGUUAGCAAACUUUAUCCUGUGUAUUUGGUUUGUCAGUGGUUUUAUUCAACUUCACAUAAAUGUUUUGGUUUCUUGCUGAUUUCCACAUAAAGCAUACAGUACUGUUUAUUAUAUAAAGAUAGAACGAAUUAAAAUAUGGGUAAUUAUUACAAAGUGCUAUAUAAGAAGGUUUUUCUUGAAAUCGUGUAUUCUGAAGAAAUAAACAUGAUGAUUACGCAGGUGACUUAUGGGAAAUAACGCAUGAAAUAGAGAGAUGGUUGUGAUGAAACAACAAUCAAUUUUUUAAAUAAACAUGUAUCAUACUGGAGCAAUCAUGCAAUAAUCCCAAAAAGAAUCUUAAGAAGAAAUAAAAACUGUUUAGGUAACUUGAACAAGAUUCCAAAUUCUCUAGAAGAUUAUUCUUGUCCUUAAAUAAGUGUUGUUGGGGGGUCAUUAGCUGAUUUUCAAUCUCUAGCUAACAUGAAACACUUACAAUGAUGAUUACAUUUGUGCGAUUCACACAGUUCCACAUUGAGAGUUUCAGAACAUAAGAGUACUUUUUUUGAAUUGCAAUUUAGAUGGUAGAACUGAUUUUUUGUUGAUAUGUCUGGAGUUUUGCAGGCUAUAAACUUGAAGUCUGGAAUAGUAAAACUGGAUCAUUAGUUAGUCAAUGGUUGACGUUCCAAAUGCUGGGUCCUGAUGUAGAGUCCUGCAGUGGAUCGGGUACCCGCAGGUUACCCGCAAAAACCUGCAGUACCCUGCGGGUUGCAGGUUGAAGUUUCGGGAGUGGGUAUAUACGCGGGUCGUGGUUCUCCGGGUUUGUGGGUCAGGUCGCAGUCUUCUCAAUAGCGAGCUUUACUCUUUUUCUGAUAACACCUACUUCUAAUGAUGUCACUUCCGGUUUACAAUGACAGCACUUCCUGUUUUACUCCUUUUUUUUCUGAUCACACCUUCUAAUGAUGCCACUUCCAGUUUACAUUGACAGCACUUCCUGUUUCUUGAUCGUCGGGAUCGGGUUGCGGAUAAGGUACUUGUGGGCAUGUAUGCAGGUAAGUAUGCGGUUCAGGUUCAACAAAUCGGUUCCUCGCAGGACUCUAUCCUGGUGCAUAGAUUAGGGGUAAAUCUAAACAGCAUUCUUCAGGCCAUGGUACCACGGGUUCUUCAUAAGGCAGAAUUUAUGGUAAAGAUUUAGCUUAUAGUGGAGUAGAGUUUGAACAGAGCUGCACACAAGCUAUUAGAUGCAGUUGGGGAGCUUACCCCAUUUAUUUAACACACCAAACCAGGGGGGAUACACCCUCCCUUCGUCAUUCUGACAGGGUACUAAGCUGAGCAAAGCAUAUGAACGGUAAAAGCAGAGCCAUUAAGGCUAAUGGCACAUAUAGUGUAUUCUCCAUGGCUAAAAAACAUUGGUGAAGUUAACACCACCAAUAAAUUGAAUCAAAGAUUUGUGUUAUCAAACCGAGAUAAGCCAGUUCACAUCAAUGAUAUUCAUUUUGAGUCAGUACCACAUAAGUCAUAUUUAGACAAAGCCCCACCUUUACAUUUCUUUGGGGAGAUAGAAUGACUUAGUACUGGAAUAGGUUCCAUAUUCCAAUAUAUUCACACAAGUUUUACUUAAACCAUUAAUGUAGUAACUAAUAAAGGCAACUCCGUGCCAAUGGGCAUUUAGCUGCUAUCCAUUAUAAGCAUAUAUGUAUAUAUGGCAGGAGGAAUGAUUAGUGGGAGAGGGGGGGGGGGUUGUUCUGAUUGAGACCCCUAAUCAAUUUGAGGACUGUAAUUUAGAGUUUCGGAUAUAUCUAAGUUUUGAGCUUUUUAACAUAUGACUUAUACUGUAUAUAAGGUGGGCAACGCAUGCUUUUCUGUAGUGAGUGGCUCCUAAAAUCAUGUUCAUUAAAGAUUCUUGUGCUAAAAUGUGCUUAUCUCACUUCCAUAUAGAUUGCUCGGCGCCGCUCUGUCCUACCUGCCGUCCCUUCCGAAUUGGGCACCACUGCACCUAUUGAUGUGAGUGCACUGACAGAGAUCAGCGGCAUCUGGACAAUCAUGAAAUUUGACAGUGGAUACAGACUGCAAACAGAAAAAAAGAGAGAGGGAGUAUAUUUGGAAAAUAGCACUGCUUAAGAAGCACUUAUUGUUAUAACCUUUUCAAAUAUAUAAGCAGCUAACUAAAUGGUUAAACUGAGGGGAAAAGAUAUAUAUCUAUACAGGUACGGGGCCUAUUACACAGAAAGCUCGGGACCUGGGGUUCUGGGAUCUUUCUGUAAUUUGGAUCUUCAUACCAUAAGUUACUAGAAAAUCAUGUAAACAUUAAAGGGGUUGUUCAACACAUUGACAAAUAUAACCGCUCACAUUAAUAGAACAAACGUUGCCAUAUAAAUAGUUAACAGGAAAGUACAGUUGAAGAGAUAUUAUUAACCUCAGAAGUUUCCCUGUACUAAUCAUUCAGUUCUAUGUGGAGCCUGUGGUGGGAGGGAGUCACUGACCCCCAAAAACUACAGUGUUCACUUCCACUUCCUUAUAUGACAUCACACAUUGUACUGGCAGCUAACUUAACUCCUAUUGGCUUUGUCUUCUAUCAAUCUUC
Long non-coding RNA from Xenopus laevis (African clawed frog), 3880 nucleotides. RefSeq lists it as uncharacterized. NCBI's taxonomy places the organism in Eukaryota, Metazoa, Chordata, Amphibia, Anura, Pipidae. The record is from RefSeq and is a predicted model, not a curated record. The transcript has 5 exons.